This is an RNA transcript of Capra hircus (goat), 1130 nucleotides long. It is a transcript of the gene named ribose-phosphate pyrophosphokinase 1 pseudogene, with no coding region annotated. The record is from RefSeq and is a predicted model, not a curated record. The transcript has a single exon. Lineage: Eukaryota; Metazoa; Chordata; Mammalia; Artiodactyla; Bovidae.
CGGGCCGGAAUGUAAGAUGGCAGAGUAGAGACGCGAGUGCUUAGUACUGAGUCUCUGGGCCCACUCGGUUCGGGUCUCGGCGGCAGCAGCAGUGAUCGUUAAGCAAAGAGAGCCUAGGGUAGUUGGCCAAGAUGCCGAACAUCAAAAUCUUCAGCGGGAGCUCCCACCAGGAUCUAUCCCAGAAGACUGCCGACCCCCUGGGCCUGGAACUGGGCAAGGUGGUGACUAAGAAAUUCAGCAACCAGGAGACCUGUGUGGAAAUCGGAGAAAGUGUUCGUGGAGAGGAUGUCUACAUUGUUCAGAGUGGCUGUGGUGAAAUCAAUGACAAUCUCAUGGAACUUUUGAUUAUGAUUAAUGCCUGCAAGAUUGCUUCAGCCAGCCGGGUUACUGCAGUCAUCCCAUGCUUCCCUUAUGCCCGGCAGGAUAAGAAGGAUAAGAGCCGGGCUCCAAUCUCAGCCAAGCUGGUUGCAAAUAUGCUCUCUGUAGCAGGCGCGGAUCAUAUCAUCACCAUGGACCUUCAUGCUUCUCAAAUUCAGGUCUUUUUUGAUAUCCCAGUCGACAAUUUGUAUGCAGAGCCAGCGGUCCUCAAGCGGAUAAGGGAGAACAUCUCUGAGUGGAGGAACUGCACAAUUGUCUCACCUGAUGCUGGAAGGGCAAAGAGAGUGACUUCCAUCGCAGAGCGGUUGAAUGUGGACUUUGCCUUGAUUCACAAAGAACGGAAGAAGGCCAAUGAAGUGGACCGCAUGGUGCUAGUAGGGGACGUGAAGGACCGUGUGGCCAUCCUCGUGGAUGACAUGGCUGACACUUGUGGCACAAUCUGCCAUGCAGCUGACAAACUUCUCUCAGCUGGAGCCACCAGGGUUUAUGGUAUCCUGACUCAUGGAAUCUUUUCUGGCCCAGCCAUUUCUCGUAUUAAUAAUGCAUGCUUUGAAGCAGUAGUAGUCACCAAUACCAUACCUCAGGAGGAUAAGAUGAAGCAUUGCUCCAAAAUACAGGUGAUUGACAUCUCCAUGAUCCUCGCGGAAGCCAUCAGGAGAACUCACAGUGGAGAGUCCGUCUCCUAUUUGUUCAGCCAUGUCGCUUUAUAAUAGAACAACUCCUGAGGCUUUUCAAAAAUAAAGUGAGCCCCA